AUUGAACGCUGGCGGAAUGCUUUACACAUGCAAGUCGAACGGCAGCACGGGUGCUUGCACCUGGUGGCGAGUGGCGAACGGGUGAGUAAUACAUCGGAACGUACCCUGACGUGGGGGAUAACGUAGCGAAAGUUACGCUAAUACCGCAUACGUCCUGAGGGAGAAAGCAGGGGAUCGUAAGACCUUGCGCGUUAGGAGCGGCCGAUGGCGGAUUAGCUAGUUGGUAGGGUAAAGGCCUACCAAGGCGACGAUCCGUAGCGGGUCUGAGAGGACGACACGCCACACUGGAACGGGGACACGGUCCAGGCUCCUACGGGAGGCAGCAGUGGGGAAUUUUGGACAAUGGGCGAAAGCCUGAUCCAGCCAUUCCGCGUGAGUGAAGAAGGCCUUCGGGUUGUAAAGCUCUUUCGGCAGGGAAGAAACGGUUUUGGAUAAUACCCAGAACUAAUGACGGUACCUGAAGAAGAAGCACCGGCUAACUACGUGCCAGCCGCCGCAGUAA
Molecule: ribosomal RNA, 502 nt
Filed under: uncultured bacterium
Lineage: Bacteria
Description: partial 16S ribosomal RNA
Rfam family: Bacterial small subunit ribosomal RNA
Source: RNAcentral